Molecule: ribosomal RNA, 436 nt
Filed under: uncultured bacterium
Lineage: Bacteria
Description: bacterial SSU rRNA
Rfam family: Bacterial small subunit ribosomal RNA
Source: RNAcentral
AACGAACGCUGGCGGCAUGCCUAACACAUGCAAGUCGAACGAGACCUUCGGGUCUAGUGGCGCACGGGUGCGUAACGCGUGGGAACCUGCCUUUAGGUUCGGAAUAACAGUGAGAAAUUACUGCUAAUACCGGAUGAUGUCUUCGGACCAAAGAUUUAUCGCCUUUAGAUGGGCCCGCGUUGGAUUAGCUAGUUGGUGGGGUAAAGGCCUACCAAGGCGACGAUCCAUAGCUGGUCUGAGAGGAUGAUCAGCCACACUGGGACUGAGACACGGUCCAGACUCCUACGGGAGGCAGCAGUGAGGAAUAUUCUGCAAUGGGCGAAAGCCUGACAGAGCAAUACCGCGUGAGGGAUGAAGGCCUAUGGGUUGUAAACCUCUUUUCCCAAGGAAGAAGAUCUGACGUUACUUGGGGAAUAAGCAUCGGCUAACCCUCGUG